UACGUAGGGUGCAAGCGUUAAUCGGAAUUACUGGGCGUAAAGCGUGCGCAGGCGGUUUUGUAAGGCAGGUGUGAAAUCCCCGGGCUUAACCUGGGAACUGCAUUUGUGACUGCAUAGCUAGAGUACGGUAGAGGGGGAUGGAAUUCCGCGUGUAGCAGUGAAAUGCGUAGAUAUGCGGAGGAACACCGAUGGCGAAGGCGAUCCCCUGGACCUGUACUGACGCUCAUGCACGAAAGCGUGGGGAGCAAACAGG
RNAcentral lists this ribosomal RNA (253 nucleotides) under uncultured bacterium. RNAcentral's name for it is "partial 16S ribosomal RNA". It matches the Rfam family "Bacterial small subunit ribosomal RNA", at positions 524 to 776 of the family's 1533-position model. The record is from RNAcentral.